This 719-nucleotide ribosomal RNA is filed under the name Bacillus subtilis. RNAcentral describes it as "bacterial SSU rRNA". It matches the Rfam family "Bacterial small subunit ribosomal RNA", at positions 65 to 766 of the family's 1533-position model. Lineage: Bacteria; Bacillati; Bacillota; Bacilli; Caryophanales; Bacillaceae. The record is from RNAcentral.
AGCGGACAGAUGGGAGCUUGCUCCCUGAUGUUAGCGGCGGACGGGUGAGUAACACGUGGGUAACCUGCCUGUAAGACUGGGAUAACUCCGGGAAACCGGGGCUAAUACCGGAUGCUUGUUUGAACCGCAUGGUUCAAACAUAAAAGGUGGCUUCGGCUACCACUUACAGAUGGACCCGCGGCGCAUUAGCUAGUUGGUGAGGUAACGGCUCACCAAGGCAACGAUGCGUAGCCGACCUGAGAGGGUGAUCGGCCACACUGGGACUGAGACACGGCCCAGACUCCUACGGGAGGCAGCAGUAGGGAAUCUUCCGCAAUGGACGAAAGUCUGACGGAGCAACGCCGCGUGAGUGAUGAAGGUUUUCGGAUCGUAAAGCUCUGUUGUUAGGGAAGAACAAGUACCGUUCGAAUAGGGCGGUACCUUGACGGUACCUAACCAGAAAGCCACGGCUAACUACGUGCCAGCAGCCGCGGUAAUACGUAGGUGGCAAGCGUUGUCCGGAAUUAUUGGGCGUAAAGGGCUCGCAGGCGGUUCCUUAAGUCUGAUGUGAAAGCCCCCGGCUCAACCGGGGAGGGUCAUUGGAAACUGGGGAACUUGAGUGCAGAAGAGGAGAGUGGAAUUCCACGUGUAGCGGUGAAAUGCGUAGAGAUGUGGAGGAACACCAGUGGCGAAGGCGACUCUCUGGUCUGUAACUGACGCUGAGGAGCGAAAGCGUGGGG